UACGGAGGCUUCAAACGUUAUCCGGAAUCAUUGGGCGUAAAGGGUCCGCAGGCGGUCUGGUAAGUUGAUAGUAAAAUUUUUGGGCUUAACCCAGAAACUGCUAUCAAAACUACCAAACUAGAGGUUGGAAUAGGUGAGUGGAAUUCCCGGUGUAGUCGUAAUAAGCGCUGAUAUCGGGAGGAACGCCAAAUGUGAAGACAACUCACUGGAACAAACCUGACGCUCAGGGACGAAAGUGUGGGUAGCGAAGCGG
Molecule: unclassified non-coding RNA, 253 nt
Filed under: uncultured bacterium
Lineage: Bacteria
Description: contains 16S-23S intergenic spacer region
Rfam family: Bacterial small subunit ribosomal RNA
Source: RNAcentral